AGGAAACGGAGGGGAUGCUUGUACCAGCGCGCCAGAGGUGAAAUUCUCGGAUUGCGCUGAGACAGUCCUAUGCGAAAGCGUUCAUCAAUUAGUUCUCCUUUGAUCAAGAACGAAAGUAGCGGGAUCGAAAACGAUCAGAUACCGUUGUAGUCGCUACCAUAAACUAUACCGAUCCUCGAUUCUUUGGCUUUUUCAUUUAUAAAACCAAAGAGCAGAGCGUAGGAAACUAGAAUAUUUGGGUUCCGGGGAGAGUAUUGUCGCAAGGCUGAAAUUUAAAGGAAUUGACGGAAUCGCACCACAAGGAGUGGAGCCUGCGGCUUAAUUUGACUCAACACGGGGAAACUUACCAGGUCCAGACUGAAGUAGGAUUGACAGCGCUAGAGACCUUUCAUGAUUUUUACAAUGGUGGUGCAUGGCCGUUCUUAGUUGGUGGAGUGAUUUGUCUGGUUGAUUCCGUUAACGAACGAGACCUUUGUUGUUAGUUUUUAGUUGUUUUUUCCGAAAGACAACAAACCUAGCAAGACUCGCGGUUCUCAAACCGCAGGAAGUGAAAGGCAAUAACAGGUCUGUGAUGCCCCUCGAUGUCCUGGGCUGCACGCGCGCUACACUGAUAUGUUCAACAUGUACUUGGUUUUCUUAACAGAAAGCCCAAUCACUUAAAGCAUACCGUGACUGGAAUUGUCGAUUGCAAUUAUUCGACAUGAACGAGGAAUUCCUUGUAAACACGCGUCACCAACGCGUAUUGAAUACGUCCCUGCGAUUUGUACACACCGCCCGUCGCUGGAACCGAUGAGACUGGUGUUGAGUUUUCUGGAAAGUUUUGUCUUCUAGUAGGCAGAGCUCAAAGGAACGCGAAAUGUCUGGCUUAGAGGAGCCAAAAGUCGUAACAAGGUAACC
Molecule: ribosomal RNA, 897 nt
Filed under: uncultured organism
Description: bacterial SSU rRNA
Rfam family: Eukaryotic small subunit ribosomal RNA
Source: RNAcentral